UCGGAUAGGGGCCACCACAAUACAAAGUUAACUUUUUUCAUUUUUUUAUUGUCAUGAGAAACAUAAUUCCAUAUUGGUCAUUAUCAAAGUUAAUUAAAAAAAUACCAUACCUGCUAAGGAGAAGGCAUGGUCCAGUUUUCUGUGUGGCCAGUUACAUUUCAGUGGGUGGCUAGCCAGCAGUCUUCUCUUGGCCACACAAAAUGGAUCUACAAAUAACAUUCGUUUCCUCUGAAAAGAUGGGGGACGGAGCUGGCAAGAUCUGUGUGCUGGAGCCUGGGACCUGCCUGCCAUUUGGUCUUCUGUCAGGCAUUGCCAAGGAGGUCAUUAAUCUUCAACUUACUGCCCAGUCUUUGGGGGGGGGGGGUGUUUUCCUUGUUGUGCUUUGUUCGGCAUUGACAUUCAGGAUUCCUUUACAGGGAUCUAUGUGGGGGCAGGAAAAAUGCUCUGUGAAUUAUGUCCUCGAGAAGUCACCAUCUGGUCAAUAUUCAUCUUGCUUAGAGAAAUACCGAAGAUAUGUGCCGGACGCAGAUGUUAAUGCAGAUCACAAGGCACCAGUGACCGAGGUUCUAGCACGGUGCCUGGGAUACAGUACAUAUUUCACAAAUAUAUGUUCAUCGAUCGAUAGUUUCUACCCAAUGUUAACCUACGAGAAAAAAAAAAUGGUCAAAGCAGCUGAUGGAGCAAUUCUGCCAAAUCCCAAGAGGAAUCUUGUUCUGAAAACAGCUGCUCUCUGGGUUUCUUGCUUUCCCUGUGGACUAUGCCCAGGGCUGCUUUACUCCAGUGGAAGUGGGAUGGCAGCCAGAGGCAAAGGUCAUCGCAGUCUGGGAAGCCCUUCCCUUGACACACUGAUGAAAAAACAAGCUAUGUCAAGAAAUAGAAAUGCAUGAGGGUAAAUAACUAUGUAGAGGCCACUCUGUGUCGGUUGGGAAGAAGUCCUCAAGUAUUCAACUUUUUAUGAAUAACUAGAAGGAAAAAGGAAUAAUAGCUCACACUUGUGUAGGUCUUUAAGGUUUGCAAAGUGCUUUAUAGACAUUAUCUCAUUCGACCCUCACAGUAACUUUAUGAGUAUUGUUUUAUACCUGUUUUACAAAUGAGGAAACUGAGGCUCAAAAAGAAUACGAUCUCCUCAGGUCACACGGCCAGUAAGAGGUUGAAGAAGGAUUGCACUUCUGUUCUCGGUGAUUCCAAGUUUGGCAUUCUAUCUACUACUGUAUUGUUUCAAAAGACAAUAUGAUCAAUAUAUGGUUUGAUGGGGAUAUGAUUGGGGAUUUUGACCUAAAAUGAUCACUCUAUUGCAAAUAUGAAUAAUAUGGAAAUAGGAUUUGAACAAUGAUACAUGUAAAACCCAGUGGAAUUGCUCGUCAGAUCUGGGAGGAGG
RNAcentral lists this long non-coding RNA (1378 nucleotides) under Monodelphis domestica (gray short-tailed opossum). RNAcentral describes it as "lncRNA (ENSMODG00000030035.2)". Lineage: Eukaryota; Metazoa; Chordata; Mammalia; Didelphimorphia; Didelphidae. The record is from RNAcentral.